GAUCGCCGUGUGCGUUGAAAGACGCCUGCACGGUGAAGGCUCGUUAUAAACCGAAAUAGAUAGAAGGAUAAGACGAGAAU
RNAcentral lists this unclassified non-coding RNA (80 nucleotides) under Ureibacillus xyleni. Lineage: Bacteria; Bacillati; Bacillota; Bacilli; Caryophanales; Caryophanaceae. The record is from RNAcentral.